This 326-nucleotide ribosomal RNA is filed under the name Myripristis kuntee (shoulderbar soldierfish). RNAcentral describes it as "partial 12S ribosomal RNA". The record is from RNAcentral. Lineage: Eukaryota; Metazoa; Chordata; Actinopteri; Holocentriformes; Holocentridae.
UCGNUNUAUUNUCACCUCACUAUCCGCCAGGAACUACGAGCNAUAGCUUAAAACCCAAAGGACUUGGCGGUUCUUUAGACCCACUUAGAGGAGCCUGUUCUAGAACCGAUACUCCCCGUUCAACCUCACCUUUUCUUGUUUAACCCGCCUAUAUACCGCCGUCGUAGCUUCCCUGUGAAGGCCCUAUAGUAAGCAAAAAUGAUUAAAAUCCAAAACGUCAGGUCGUAGGUGUAGCAGCAUGAAAAGGAAAGAAAUGGGCUACAUUCCCUACCCCAGGGAACACGAAUAGUACACUGAAACACGUACUUGAAGGAGGAUUUAANAGU